UACAGAGGGGGCGAGCGUUGUUCGGAAUUACUGGGCGUAAAGGGCGCGUAGGCGGCCUGCUAAGUCGAACGUGAAAUCCCUGGGCUCAACCCAGGAACUGCGUCCGAUACUGGUUGGCUUGAAUCCGGGAGAGGGACGUGGAAUUCCAGGUGUAGCGGUGAAAUGCGUAGAUAUCUGGAGGAACACCGGUGGCGAAGGCGACAUCCUGGACCGGUAUUGACGCUGAGGCGCGAAAGCCAGGGGAGCAAACGGG
RNAcentral lists this ribosomal RNA (253 nucleotides) under uncultured bacterium. Its description in RNAcentral is "partial 16S ribosomal RNA". It matches the Rfam family "Bacterial small subunit ribosomal RNA", at positions 524 to 776 of the family's 1533-position model. The record is from RNAcentral.